Molecule: ribosomal RNA, 253 nt
Filed under: uncultured bacterium
Lineage: Bacteria
Description: partial 16S ribosomal RNA
Rfam family: Bacterial small subunit ribosomal RNA
Source: RNAcentral
UACGGAGGGGGCUAGCGUUGUCCGGAAUCACUGGGCGUAAAGGGCGCGUAGGCGGCCUUCUAAGUCGAACGUGAAAUCCCCGGGCUCAACCCGGGAACUGCAUCCGAUACUGGAUGGCUUGAAUCCGGGAGAGGGAUGCAGAAUUCCAGGUGUAGCGGUGAAAUGCGUAGAUAUCUGGAGGAAUACCGGUGGCGAAGGCGGCAUCCUGGACCGGCAUUGACGCUGAGGAGCGAAAGCCAAGGGAGCAAACGGG